RNAcentral lists this long non-coding RNA (24367 nucleotides) under Brachypodium distachyon (stiff brome). RNAcentral's name for it is "long non-coding RNA (BDIS_LNC000672)". The record is from RNAcentral. Lineage: Eukaryota; Viridiplantae; Streptophyta; Magnoliopsida; Poales; Poaceae.
CACAGGAGGGGUGGAGCUUCUAUUUAUAGGCCAAAGAUGUCACACUGACAUGUGGACCAAAAGCAAACCCUAGCUACCACCAUGUCCGCCAGGUACGCCCAUGGCCCCCUUCGGAUUGUCCGGGAGGGGACAAUACUGCUUUGUGCUUUACGUACAGCCAGGCGGCGCGCACUGUAGCCAUGCUCCGGCCUUCGUCACCUGUCCUUCUACGGCGCGUCACUGUGCAGUCGCCCGGCACAGCGACAUGAGCAACGAUUGCUUUUCCUCAUAAAGGGAGUGCUGCUUUACUUUGCGCCAUGUGAUCAGGAUAGGACCGUUGGCGUAUCCCAGCCCAAGCCGAGAUCAGAGAGUUCAUGCUUAUUCCUGCAAUCACAUAAGACAAGAUAGAUAUGCCGACACACUUUUGGUAUGCCGGCCGGUUACAAAGUCGGCCUGACAAUGCCGGCGUACUUGAUCACGUCGGCUUUGCUCUCGCUAUUCCGGAUAAUACAUAUCGUCAUGACCCUACCCGGGGUCAUCCCCCCGACACUAGUCGCGGAAGCUGUUGCGGUCCGACAGGAAGUGUUGUCGGGCAACGACAGUUUCCCAAAUCUUAAAUAACUCAGCGGCUAGGAGGGUUUGACCAGGUCAAAUGCCGACACAAUCCCGAGCUUUCUUAGCCGAGAUUUAGCACUGCCGGCAUUUUUAGUCGGCGCGGUAUUUUCAGCUUCGAGCCGAGAUUCCCCUCUUAAUUCCGCCAGCAAUAGAGAGCCUUUUUCUGCCGAUAUCUAUGCCAGAUGUCACACCUAUUCUGCGCCUCACUUUAACAGCUGGAAGAUAAGGCUAAAGACACUGUUGGCACGUCUUUUGAGGCGAAUAUGUCGUCCCAUCGGACAGGAAAACCGGCAGGCCAUUAAGAGGGGGGUUUCGGUUUCCACCCGCUGCCUUAUCUCCUCCCGAUUUGGUGGGAUUUACUGUGCCACGUUGCGCAGUAACCACUCGUGCGCCAUUUAUGGGGGUAAUCGUCCCCAUGAUUACGACACUAUUUUACCGUUGGCCUCGGGGAUCGUCGGUGCGGAAGAUCCGCGGCCCAUGAUUGCGCCCCGGCUAUAAAUAAGGGGACGGGGUGAAAGCAUUUUUAUUCCCCCGAAACCCUAGCUUCUUCGCUUCUCUCACGCUCCCUCCCCUGCUGGACGCUCGGAGCCUCUUCGCCGCCGCGCUAGCUCGCCUCCGAUAACCAACCUCACUGCCGUAUCCUCGCGCACCCUCGCCUGCACUUCCGUCGCUCUCUCCUUGCUUGCUCGCGCCUCGCGCCGUCGUUUCUCCGUCUAGAAUUCCCAGAUCUGUUUCUGCGCCAUGGCAUCUUCUUCCUGUGACGCCGCCGCCGUCGAUCCCGCCGCUCAGCAGAUUGAAGAGGACACCGGCUCAGAGCGCGCCGGAUGUGAGGGCUCCGACGUAUCCCCGGCGGACAUCGACUGGCUCCGCCGCACCCGGCGGAUCCCGAAAGAAGGGGAGUGCCGGAUUCUCGGCGACGAGGUCGUGCUGACACCUGGGCCCGGUGAGUUUGUUGUCUUCGUUUCACAUUUUGAACGCGGCUUCGGGCUCCAGGUUAGCGAUUUUGUCCGGGAUUUCCUUGACCAUUUUGGUCUCCAACCUCACCAUCUUCCCGCCAACGCCAUUCUUACACUUUCUGCCUUUGUCACUUGCUGUGAGAGCUAUCUCGGCCUUUGGCCAUCCGUUGACCUGUGGGCCAAAUAUUUCAUGUUCCGGCCCCAGGUUCUUUCCGACAAAGAAAAUCCCGGUGCCCCUAAGCUCAUGACCCAAUGCGGCGCCGCCACCGUCAUACCUCGCCGAUGUUCUGCCUUUCCUCGGAUCCAAGGUCUUGAGUCCUGCAAGAAGUGGCUCAAGGCCUUUUUCUAUGUCAAAAACGCCUCCUACACCGACAAGAUCAAUUUGUCGGGAUUCAUAGUCGGCCUGCCGGAGGAGAAGAAAAAAUGGAUACAUGAUCCCAAGGACUCUCUCCCGGAGAUAAAUGAGGUCCAUGCCGGCAUCAUCGCGUUGAAGGAGAACGGGAUGACGGCUGACGAUUUGCUGGCCACGUUCGUGUUCCGGCGAGUUUGCCCGCUCCAACGCCGGACACACAAGAUGUGUUUCCACAGCAGCCAGCUUGACCCGAACCGAGUUUCAACCAUUAUGUUGGACAAACUCGAGGUUCGACGCCGAGUCAAGGCGAUCGCGAAGACUAACCUAGCCGAGAACUGGAGCUGGGGCAUGGUGCCAUACAGCCGGAAGAAUCGUGCGCCCUUGGUAGCUUUUUUGUCUACUUGGUUUUUCGAUUUUCUUCCGACAUAAUUACAUGCCGGCCUCUAAUCGAUAAAAUUUACACCCCAACACAAUGAAGACGGGCACUCGCCGGACAAGCGCUUCAUCCCCGACCAUCUGGGAGCCGACUCGGAAGACCCGGAUUCUGAGCAUCACAUGCCGAUUCCUCAUGCCGGCCCCAGGCGUGCUAUAUGACUUCAUCUCGUUGAUAUCAGAGCUCUUAUCUUCGAAAUACUUACGCCUGUUUUGGUCCGAGAACAGCUGACUUGGACGAUCCGAGCCUUGCCGUGGCCCCUGCUGCUGCUCUGGUGUCGGCCGACGAAAAGCACAUCGCCGACAUAGAGCUUCCAAGGACUAUGAAGCGGAAGAAAACCGCUGGCCGGAAGCCGAAGCCGAAACCAAUGGUCAUCGGGUAAGCCUCAUGCCAUUUCAAUUUUGAAUGUCGGUUCCUCUUCUUGACUGAUAUGAAAAUGACAACAUUCCGUUCCUGUAGGGAGGCUCUGACUGCCACUCGGUCCCAGACUUGCAUCGCCUCCGAGAUCCCUGCCACCUCGUCUCCACGUGCAGAGGCUUCUGCUCAAGCGACGGGAGAAACUGAGACUGUCACAGACUCGGCAUCCCCCGUUCAGGAUGUCGGCCCCGACAUCGACGCUUCGAGCGUCGCCCAAGCCGGGACAUCUGCGGCUGGGACUGCUCCUUCGUCGGCAGCUCCUGAUGCGCAGCCGCAACCAUUGGCAGCGGAUCGUCCUCGUCAGCCGGUGGCGCAGCCUCAACAAGCUCAAGCAACAGCAUUGCCGCUGCUGCCGUAGCUGCCGCAACCGCAACCGACAUCGCUAGCGGCCGCCUGGGCGAAGAAGACUAGGAGCUCUGCCAUCCCGCCGGGACAGCAGCCUCCGAGUUCAUCCGGCUCGCCGUCAAUCCGGGGUACUCAAGGAGUUCCUCUUAGGACAACAAGCGGGCAUAGCUGGGGAUCCCUCGGCCAAUACGCCAUGGAUUGGAACAGCGCCGACAGUUAUGAGGUUAACUCCGGAACAAUCCAGACAGCGCAGCAAAAUGCUCCGGUGGGACCAUCUCCCGUGGCGGCGACCCUGGAGUCGGUGGUGGCCCGGAUGUUCCAGGCAAGAGUUGCGCUGUUCGAAUCAAAGCGAGCUGCCGAGGUACGAAAAUCCCUUGAAGUUUUUUAUUCUAUCUUUAGUAUAUAUACUCCUAGUCCCCGAGGUUUAGGGCGAGUAAGAAAUAGUGGGCCUGAAGCUUACCUUGAAAAACUUCAAACACUAUUCCCCGAGAUUCAGACCGAGUUUAGAAUAGUCGGCCUGAAGCUUAAAAACUUCAAACACUAUUCCCCGAGAUUCAGGCCGGGUUUAGAAUAGUCGGCCUGAAGCUUUUCUUGAAAAACUUCAAGAAUUAUUCCCCGAGAUUCAGGCCGGGUUUAGAAUAGUCGGCCUGAAGCUUUCCUUGAAAAACUUCAAGCACUAUUCCCCAAGAUUCAGGUCGUUUACAAUAGUCGGCCUGAAGCUUAAAAAACUUCAAACACUAUUCCCCGAGAUUCAGGUCGGGUUUAGAAUAGUGGGCCUGAAGCUUAUAAAACUUCAAACACUAUUCCCCGAGAUUCAGAUCGGGUUUAGAAUAGUCGGCCUGAAGCUUAAAAACUUCAAACACUAUUCCCCGAGAACCAGGUCGGGUUUAGAAUAGUCGGCUUGAAGCUUAAAAACUUCAAACACUAUUCCCUGAGAUUCAGGUCGAGUUUAGAAUAGUCGGCCUGAAGCUUAUAGUUGUUGAUUUGCCACUGCUAUAAGACCCUAGGCAGCUUGCCCUUGCUGUGCUGGCUUGCAUGCACGGUACGUAGCGCUGCAACUAGGGCGGUACGUGCCCUAGAUUCACUGCGGGACAAUACUGUGGACUGACUGGACGGGGAAUCAUCUUUCUGUCGGAACAUUAAAUGCUUGCUUGUGCCACACUCCUCGCCCUGACCAACCCUGCACACAGGGAGCCUGUCGGGCGGCCACGUGGCGUCAAUGCUCUGCCUGCUGGGUACCGUCCCUGUUGUAAGUGCCUGCGCCUGGGAACGCCCUUGCCGGCAAGUGACCUUCCCGGGGGGCGCCCAGGAAGGAAUUCUCUCGUCGCCUUCUAGGGUAACCCCCGCAGCCCGGCUAGCCCUGCCGGGCUGGUGAUUUGCCGGGCAGCUUGUGCGGUGCUGCCCAGGGUGCUUUCCUUGCGGGGAGCAGGUGAGGCGACCCACGCGUCAAGCAGCGGUGGUACCCCGGGUGCCACUGGUGCGACAGUAUCCCCGGGGCGUGGGCCGGCAACGCCUGUUCCCGAGCAAAAUCACCCGUGGUCGGUUGCCGGGCUACGUCCUUAUCCGACGCGUGGGUCCCGAAUCGUUUCAGAUUCCCGUUUAUGCAUUACUCCAAGGACUCCGCCGUUACGGGCAGAGUGGUGGGGGCGAGAUUUCCGCCCUAACCUCGCCUUAAUCGCGGGUGGUUAAGGCCACGUCCCGCAUUCCCCCUCUUUAAGCAUAGUUAUCCCCAGCACGCCCGUAGGGUGCGGAUGCGACCGUUGCUCAGCGCCGGGGUACUAUAAAACCCCACCGCUGUGCUGAGGAGCAAACACUUAGCCCCCAACCCUUCUUCCUCAUCCCCAUUAAUUAUAACUUGCGCCCCUGAAUCCUGCUAGUCUCCGCCCACAUUGCCCAUGGCACCCACAGCCCCCAAGAGAGGGAAAGGCUCCAAGAGUUCUGCGACCGACAAAGGUGAGAAGGCUCCCAAGAAGCCUCUCUCAGAGAAGGACCAAAAGAAGAGGGAGUUGAGGGCCACGCGGGCCUUCUUCAAGCCCGGCUACAAUGGCAAGGGGCUCAACAAGAUCCGGCAUGCCGGCGCUUCCCCGUUCAACGAGUACGGCAAGACGCUCGUCUUCCCUGUCAGCGGCGACCACCAGGACAACGGCUUCUGGGUGUUCGCCCGUUUCAUCCUUGCCGGGCUGGUACCUCCGUACUCCCUCUUUCUCCACGCGCUCAUGGCGGCGUACCAGCUCCGGGUUGCGCAGCUCCACCCCACCUCUCUCUUCCUUCUCGCCGUCUUCCAGUUCCUCUGCGAAGGGUUUGUCGGUGGCAUUAUUUCGGCACUACUUCUACCCGUGCGUCGAGCAAUCAGGCGCGAUGUCGUUGGUGGUGGUGUUCCGAGUCCUCCGGCGACGAGGCUGGCCGCAUUGCCGGGGCCCAGACAGCCCCCCCUGCAGCGGAGGAGGAGGGACGACGCACCUUUGGUGUGGAGAUCAAGGGCGCCAGCGGCUGCAGCCACCUCUGUAGCAGCCGCACGCGCCUUGGCGGCCUCCGCGGCAACCGGGGCUGCGGCAACUCCUCAAGGAUCCGCGGCCCCGCCCAAGCGGGGAAUCUUCUGGGGCUACUCGCUCAAGCUCAACCCCCCGAAGUAAGUUGACGCUCCCCCUCCCUUCUACCUACAAGUUUUGCGCUUGCCUUCAUUCCUUCACUUCCUUGUUGAUGCCUCGCAGGGAUAGCACUCCGGCUGGAGCCGGCAAGAGGGGUAGGACGGACACUGCACCCGCCGCGCCAAUCAAGAAGCCACGCACCCGGGCCAGUGCCAGUCAGACCAGCACGGGGGCCAGCGGCGCCGCCACCACGCUUGCCGCCGACCUGAUCCUAGUGGAGGAGUAGCCCGCAACAGGUACAGGCCCCUCCCCUAAUUCCAUUGCACAUGCUCCUUGAAAGGGCAUUUCUCUCCUAAGUGGUUUUGGUGGUGAUGACAACAUGUUGUGUAUCUAAUCGUGUGUCAAGUAUUUCAGAUUUCAUAAAGAAAUUGGCACAAGAUGUUGAUGUGGACCCUCAAGAUGCUAUGAAGCGCAGCGGUGUUAGCGGCUUUUUCGUUUUGAUUUGAGUCGUAGGACAUCCGUACUACUAAGAGGAAAUCCACAAGGGAAGGUAAUGGGUGAAUCAAUUUCGCGUACACAACUACACAAUUUGCACCCACUAAAAAGCCUACCCCAAAAAGUGAGAGAGAAGAACUAAACUCAGCAUGUUGUGUUCUGCCUGCAGUCCAGGUGGCGGAAGUUCCCUCCGGUCGCUCUCUGUUAGGAUCGGCAGAAAAUGCGGAACUUUCGGUAAUAUGCUGAACUUCCGUUUGACCGGAGGUUCCGGCUAUGACCGGAAGUUUUGGCCUGUCUCUACGCAGUGCAUAACGGCUCGAUUUUAGGGACCCCAUAUAUAUACCCCUUCGUCCCCAACGAGCUAGCUGACCGUUUUCACAGCCAAGAACAGUCCCUCUCACCCCAAGAACACAAAAAGCUCAAAUCUCCAAGAUCUCCCUCCCUAGCUACUCCCAACUCUUGAUUUUUUGAGGAUUGGAAGAGAAGAUCUUGCUUUAGGGUUUCACCAAGUCAAAAAGUUGAUUUCUCUUGUUUUCUUUGUGGAUUUCGUUUCUUUUGGGAUGUUGGGAACCCUAGACGGAAGCGGUCACCUCAAGCUCUCCCUUGGUGUAUGAGGAGCUUGAGGCUUGGAUUGGAAGCCUCCUAUUGAAUUGUGGAGUUUGUCCCGGUCAAGUUUGUAAGGGUUCGGCGUUCGCCCUCAAGGAAGCCAUUAGUGGAACACACCUCACCUUUGUGGUGUUGUGAGAGCUCAUCCCACCUUUGUGGUGUGAUGAGUUGGAGAAUAGAGUGAGCCUUCGUGGCAUCUAUACCAUUGUGGUAGAGCACUCCUCCAAACGGAGAAAUACACCGAUCCCAAUAGGUGGAACUCCGGUGAAAUCUUCGUAUCCACGUGUGGUAUAAUUUCCCCUUUACAUUCUUGCUAUAUAGUGUUUCUUCGGCUAUUGCAUUUCAUUCUAGGGUUGCAUUCACUUUAAAGAAUUUAGAAAACACUAGGACUAAGUGUUUGUAUCUCUCAAGAAAAGAAAAAGAAAAGCCAUAAUUUGUUAGUCUCCUAUUCACCCCCCCUCUAGUCGACCAUACCGAUAUUUCACUCCUUCUGCAUAUUGGCCCAUAACCGUGCCAUUACCUUGUUUCGCAGGCGAAAUCCAGCCCGCAGCGGACAGCCCGGCAGCAGGAGCUGGGACAGAGCGGGACAAGGCUCCCCUCACAAGCACGGCAGCCCUACAAGGUACCCGUCCGGAGCUUCCUUGCGUUCGUCGCCGGGUACCCCGGCUUAGCUUGAAGUACCCAUUUUGCUCUUUGUCGCAGGCCCUAUUGCGCCCACAACAAGGGCGGACGCAACGGUGAUCGACCUCACUUCUGACGUUGAGGACGCAGGGUUGAGGGAGAAGCCGGAGGCGGCUCCUGCGCCAAGCUCCGCCGCGCCGGACACAAUGGCGACGGCGCCCGCCGUCGCUACCAGGGCGGAGCUCCGCGGCGCGUCCCCGGCCUUGCAGGCCGGAGGCGCGGGUCCCGUAGCCGCCCAGCAGGAGACGACUCCUGCCGGGGGCGCGGACCUCCCGCAAGACCCGCAACCCACGGGCGCGGGUGCGGGGGAAGAAGUGUCAGGGGUGCAGUAGGUGGUUCCCCUGCAAACGGACGAUGCUCCCCCUGGCCAGACCAUGGUGGCGGGGGCCUCGUCAUCGUCCGCCGCCACCUCCAGCCCAGACCUCGGCAUACUUGCCGGGGCAACUUGGGACCCAAUCACCUGGGACCCAAGCAUCUACGACCAGGGGCACCAAUUCCUCGACGCCACUAAGGAGCAACAGCUAGCGUUCGUCACUUUGUUCAACAAGGUGAGGUAGCACCACGAGCUCGCGAAGAGCCAACUCGGUGAAGUGCGGCGAGACAUCGAGAGGGAGCGGCAGGAGCUCUCCCGGCUACGGGAGGAGACGUGCCUGGCUCGGUAGGCCAGGGAUGAGGCCGCAACGCUGGUCGACCCCGAGGCAGAGCUCCAACGGCAACUGAAGGCCCAACGCGCCGAGCACCAGCAAGCACUGGACUCGCUGGCCACGGUGCGGGAGAAGACCAACAAGGAGCACGAGGAGGUGCUUGCAACAGCUCAAGCUCACCUCAACGAGAAGAGCGAGUAGGUCAGCAGCUACUCCUCCCAACUCCAGGAUCUGCGCACAAAUCUGGAGGAGCAGGCCAAGGCCGCGGAGGACGCGGCAGCGGCAUCGGCGCGGCAGGGGAAGGAGCUCAAUUCUGCCAAGGAAAAGAGUGCCCAUCUCGAGUCCAAAUUGUCCACCGCCCGGGGUGAGCUCGUCAAGGCGGGCGAGGACAACAUGAGCAAGGCCAAGGAGAUCGGGCGGCUCGCGGAACUCCUCCGCAAGGCCAAACACGCGGUGGCGCUAGUGCGCGGCAACAACAACAAGGGUGCGGAGCAGCAGCGGAGGGAGACCGAGAAGCUGUACGAGAUCGCCCAAGCCGUGCGCGAGCUGCUACCGAGGUUUGAGCUGCAAGCCGCGAAAGAGGACGGCACGGACGUCGCACCCUGAUCCCAUUCUUCUCCGACAUGGUGGGGAAGCUCGGGGCGCUGGACGUGUGGAUCUCCAAGUUCUGCGAUGGGGAGAUAGCAUCGUGCGCCAAGGAGAUCGCCGAGACGAUCCUCCCUCGGGUGCACUACAACCACCCCAACUUCCCCUUCGAGACACUGCUGGACGCGUGGUCGGACAGCAAGGACGGUCCCACCCACUCUAGGGCAGUAAGCCGGUUCAUCGACGAAGUGGUGGAUCGGAUGCAGAGGAAGCCGGAGCCAGAGCCCCCAGCGGAAGCCCCCGGCAACCAGCCGUCUUAGUCCCCUGAAGGUUUUUAUUUUCCUUUUGUUUCCUGCAAGUGGCGCGCUUAGCGCCGUUGAACAAUUAUCGUUUAGCAAUUUCGCUUUCUGGUUCUAUCGAGUACUUGUCCCUGAAAUUGACUCGCGGGGUGGAUCUUCUUGUCCUCGCUUUGUGUUGCCGGGGACUCGUGAGCUACCCACUUAACUAGACUAGGGACCCGGGACGGACCCGCAGUGCCAACCUAGGGCCAACUAGCAGCAGCGACCCACUCCGCUUGCGGGUUAGCUACCCCCAAGCACGCGCCCACGGGGCGGACCUGCAAGCCGCAUGAGGAGCGUACUCCCCCGCAAGCGUCCUUCUAACACUCCAGCCGCACGCAAGACCUGACCCACACCAACAAGCCAGCAUUGAGUACUAGAAAGCUAGGCGCCUAAGAUAAUGCACUUAGCUGUCUGCUCUCGUGUCGAACGUGUCAGUUCUGCACUUGGGACACCUGCUGGAGGGAUGCGGCAUGGGCACAGUGGCAGUGCACCCAUCGGCACUGAGCACUGAUGGCAUGCACCACCACCGUGUCCCUGCAGCCUCCCUCGCCUUUGUAGCCAUCUUCUUAUCUUUGCUCUGAGUUGCUCCGUGGCCACCAUGCCCUUUUAUAGGCAUGGUGAAGGAUCCUGCCGCCGCGCGCGCCGAGCUACCGCGAGACACGUGGUGACACCCUCCUGCGGUAAGAACCUUGAAGCGGUCGCCAUGCACCAGUGGCUUCCCGCUAGACGACACGGCACGUGAAUACUCCACGAGUAUCACAGUGUGUUUGAUCCCCAUCCUUAUCUGCAUGUGAGAUUCUUACCAACCCAAGAUGCUACAAUUUUUUUUUCGAAAUCCCCGCGAACAACCAGGCGCUUGAUAUCAAGGGCGAUCGCCGCCCACAACCCGGCGAGCAACCCUUCGUACUCAGCCGUGUUGUUGGUGGAGUUGGGGAAGUCGAGUUGGAUGGCGAACUUCAGCUGGUCUUCCGUGGGUGACUCGAUGACGACUCCGGCGCCAGCUCCCUGCAGGCUGAAAGCGCCGUCGAAGUACAUGAUCCAGUGGCCUUCGUCCAGCUUGUCAGGCAGGUCGGUCUCCGGCUCGUCUUCUUCUAUGCCCGUCGAGGUCCACUCUGCAACGAGAGCAGCACUCUUGAUACUCUUGGUGUUCGUGAAGUGAAGAUCGAACUCCAACAACUCCAUCCUCCACUCGGCCACCCUUCCGGUGGCUUCACGGUUGGUGAGAGCCCGCUCGAGGCAGAAUCCUGACACCACCGUGACGCGGUGCGCCUAGAAGUAGUGGCGCAGCUUGCGGGACGCAAGCAGAAUCCCCAGCAAGAGCUUUUGCACUUGCGGGUACCGCGUGCGGGCGUCACGCAACACCGUGCUGAUGAAGUACACCGGGUGCUGCACAAGCCGCUUGCGCGGUGCCGUUGCCGCCGGCUCGUUGGCGGUUCCCGGGUCCGAGGCGGUUGCCGGGGCUGAUUCAGCCCCAUGCGCCGCAAUCUCAUCCACCGAGAGAUCUUCUUCUCUCUCGGCAACAAGUACUGAGCUGACCACUUGGUAAGUCGCCGCUAGAUUGAGCAGCAGCGGCUCGCCCGGCUUGGGGGCGAUGAGGAUUGGUGGCGACUUCAGGUACUGCUUAAGGUCCUGGAACGCCGCCUCAGCCUCGGGGGUCCAAUCAAUUAGGCCCUUCUUCUUCAUUACCCUGAAGAAAGGCAAGGCGCGUUCGCCCAGCCUUGAGAUGAAUCGACCCAGCGUGGCUACACAGCCGUUGAGGCGCUGGACAUCCUUCAUCCUGCGGGGAGCCUCCAUCUUCUCGAUAGCUUCUAGCUUCUUUGGGUUGGCCUGAAUCCCCCUGUGCGAAACCAAGAAGCCCAGAAGUUGCCCCGAGUUUACACCAAAAAUGCAUUUCUCAGGGUUCAACUUGAGCUUGAUCUUGCGGAGAUUAUCAAAUGUCUCCCGCAAGUCAUCAAUAAGCGAGUCCUCGUGCUUUGACUUGAUGACGAUAUCAUCCAUGUAGCCUCAACGUUUCGGCCUAGUUGGGGUCCCAAACACUCGCGCAACGCACGCUGGAAUGUUGAGCCCGCGUUCUUCAACUCGAAACGCAUGCACGUGUAACAGUAGCAACCAACCAGGGUGAUGAACGCCGUUUUUUCCUUGUCCUUGACUGCCAUCUUGAUCUGAUGGUAGCCGGAAAAAGCAUUCAAAAAACACAACAAAUCGCAACCGGCAGUGGAAUCUACUAUUUGAUCGAUGCGAGGUACAGGGAAAGAGUCUUUUGGACAUGCACGAUUAAGAUCUGUAAAGUCCACACACAUGCGUAAUUUAUUCUCCCCCUUGGGUACUACAACUGGAUUCGCUAACCAAGUGGGGUACAAUACUUCCCUGAUAGCUCCCGCAGCCUUCAGCUUGUCCACUUCUUGCUUGAUGAAGUCUUUGCGCUCCUGUGCUUGCCGGCAGAUCUUCUGCUUGAUGGGGUAGGCGUCUGGACACACCGCAAGUCGAUGCUCGAUCAUCUCCCUAGGACACCGAGAAGAUCCGAUGGUUCCCAAGCGAACACGUCGUCAUUCUCCCGGAGGAAAGUGAUGAGGGCGCUUUCCUAUUUGGCAUUGAGGUUUGCACCGAUGGUGACGGUGCGCUCCUCGUUGUCGGCCUAGAGGGUCAGCUUCUUCACCUUGGCGUCCUCCUCCUUGAGCUUCUGGCCCUUGCCGGAAGUGAGCUCGAGCUUGUGCCUCCCCCGACAAGUUCCUGCGGGGCGACACGAGCCUUCUUCGCUGCGGGGCCGUUGCCCGGCAGCGAGUCUUCACUUCCGACGACGCCUUCGUCACCAGAAUCAGCUGCGGCAGCGGCCUUGACGACCUCGCCAACACACCAAGCCGCGUCCUUGAGGUCGCACUUGAUGGAGAGAACUCCGUACGUGGACGGCAUCUUCGUCACGCCGCAGGUGCAAUGAGUUGCCGCCAUGAACUUGAUCAGCGCCGGCCGACCAAGAAUCCCGUUGUACGGCAACGGGGUAUGAGCCACGUCGAACACGAGGUGCUCGGUCCGAAAUGCUUCCCGGGACCCGAAGGUAACCGGCAGCGUGAUGCGCCCCAGGGGGCGCACGAUCCCGGGGUUCACUCCCCGGAACGAGUCGGUGGGCUUCAUCUGCUCUAGCGGCAGCUGAAGCGUCUCCACCAGCCUGGUGGAUAGGAGGUUCAACCCUGCUCCGUUGUCCACCAGCACCUUGGUCACCGUCAUGUUGUUGAUGAUCGGCGAGACCACGAAGGGAAAAACCCCUGACCCCAGCUACCGGGCUGGGUGAUCGUCAGGGCUGAAAGUGAUUGGCACGUGCGACCACUUCAGCGGCUGCUGCGGCUCCAUGUCCGGCAACAGCGUACACACUUCCCAGGUGAGGCGCUUCACGGCGCUAUGGGAUGAGAGAGCAUAAGCACCCCCAUGAAUGCACGCGAUGUCGCGAGGCUCCUGGAAGAAAGGCUCGUCGCCUUCACUGUAGUCGGACCCGCGCUGCUCCUCAGCGCAAGCCUUGUCUCGUCCCCGAGGAGGCCGCUCCCUGCCGGCGCGGGCUUGGGCUCGACCCCCCUAGGCUUACUCUUUGCCGGCAUCCCCGCCGGCAGGCUUCGCUCCAGCUCUGGGGUCAUUCGGGCAGUCGCGGGAGAGAUGCCCGAUGUCCCCGCAAUUGAAGCAGGCGUCGGCUGCUCGGUGCUCCUCGUGGCACUGCUCGCGCCUCUGCUUGAUUCCCUGCAGAAUGCGGCAAUCCUGCACGUCAUGGGUGGCGUUGCCCUGGAUGGGGCAGCAUGGCGCGUCGCCCGGCUUGCCACCAUACCCGCCAGCGGGUGAGGCCUUCCUCGCAGGCCUCGAGGCGGCCCCUGGUUCCACGGCAAGCACUUGCUUCCCGCUGCGCUUCCGGGAGCCCUUCUUCGGCGAGCCCUCAGCGGGACUCGCGGCUGCCUUGUCUGCAAGUUCGGGCGCCAAGCGCCCUUCCUCGGCCAUGGAGCACUUGUGCGCCAAGCCGUAGAGCUCUUGCGUCGUCUGGAUCCGGUGCGUGCUCAGCUUCUCAUGCAUCUUGGGGUCACAGAUGUUGAUGGCGAAGGUGUUGAUGAUGGUGGUAGCCUCCGCCUCAGGAAUAGAGUAGGAGAGACUAGAGAAGUGGUUGACAAAGCUCCGCAAUGUCUCUCCUGGCCUCUGCACAACGGUGUGCAGCUCCGCCAUGGUUCCCGGGUGCUUGUAGCCACCCUGGAACGGUCUCACAAACUGCUUGCGCAGGUCAGCCCAGGAGGCUAUGGACCCGGCGGGCAGUUUGAGCAACCAGGUCCUCACCGAUCCUUUAAGGACCAUCGGGAAUCAGUUGACCCUGACCUUGUCAUCGGCGUCGAUGGCAUGCAUCCCCAACGUGUAGGUCAGGAGGAAAUCCUUGGGGUUCACGGUCCCGUCGUACGUUCCCGGCACCGGUGCUCGGAACUUGCGGGGCCAUGUCACCCGGCGCAGCUCGCGGGUGAACGCGGUGCAGCCGUCCUCGGUGCCCAUGGGAGCAUCCUCCUACUCCUCUGGGCGUUGAUGUUCCGCCUAACGCUGGCGCCGGCGCUCCAAGCGCAGGCGGAGGUCUUCUUGCUGGCGGGCGUUCAAGACAGCCCACGCAUCACCCCGUGUGACGGUCGGUGAUGAAUCCGAGGACCCCUCAGGAUCCUCGCCUCCUUGCUAUCCCUGUGGGGGAGGGUUUUCUCCCAGUCCCGAGACGCGGGGCGCGUCUCUGCGUCCCAGGUUCUGCCCUCGGCCUGAACUGGCCGGGGCGCCCUCGCCUUGCGGCUGCUGGGCGGCGAGCGCAAGGAGGGCGUCUAACUCUGCACUCCAUGCCUCGUGCGCCAGCGUGCCUUGCGGUGGCUCGUAGCGCACCAUGACACGCGCGGCGAUGAUGGCCUCUGCCGGGGUUUGAGUGGGAGACUGCCGAUUCUCCGACCGGCUGCUCUCCGCCUUGUCCCCCGGUGCCCCUGGGUGAGUAGGGCGAGAUCCCGACGGCAUCGCACGCGAUGCGGUAUGCUUGUGGCGCCGCUGCCGCUGCGCGUCUUCAGCCCGCGAGUGGACUCGCUGGCCGGCGCGGGCGGCGUCGUGGCCGCUGGCGCGACUAGCUCCGGCGCUGGGAGCCGCUGGCCCCCUCAGCCGGUUGUCCGCCGACGAGGCCAAUGUCAAGCGUAUAGAUGCACAAGACCGUUUUACCCAGGUUCGGGCCACCCUGAGGUGUAAAACCCUACAUCCUGCUUCUGAGCUUGUAUUAGCCAAUGAACGAGGGUUUACAAGUUGCCGGGGGAGUCCCCGGACGCUCUCUCCUUUCCUGCUAAGUGCUACUUGUUACUUCUAGGCUAAAACUAGUAAGAACCGAACCCUUUGACCGUUGGCAAUGGUCCUACUUUUAUACUCAAGGAGAUGCCACAGGUGCCUCGGUGCAUGGGUGACAAGUGUUGAGCAAAGACCCUAGGCAGCUUGCUCUUGCUGCGCUGGCUUGCAUGCACGGUACGUAGCGCUGCAACUAGGGCGGUACGUGCGCUAGAUUCACUGCGGGCCAGUCACUGUGCGCUGACUGUACGGGGAAUCACCUUUCUGUCGGAACAUUAAAUGCUUAUUUGUGCCACACUCCUCGCCCUGACCAACCCUGCGCACAGGGAGCCUGCCGGGCGGCCACAUGGCGUCAAUGCUCUGCCUGCUGGGUACCGUCCCUGUUGUAAGUGCCUGCGCCCAGGAACGCCCUCCCCGGCAAGUGACCUUCCCGGGGGGCGCCCAGGCGGGAAUUCUCUCGUCGCCUUCCAGGGUAAACCCCGCAGCCCGGCUAGCCCUGCCGGGCUGGUGACUUGCCGGGCAGCUCGUGCGAUGCUGCCCAGGAUGCUAUCCUUGCGGGGAGCAGGUGAGGCGACCCACGCGUCAAGCAACGGUGAUACCCUGGGUGCCACUGGUGCGACACUUUGGUGGCCGAGCAACAAAAUAAAAGUGAGUACACUUCUACCGACACAAAAACUAUGUCGAGUUACCUAUGUACUUUGAAAACUGACAUGUGCCGACAUAAACAGCUGGGGACGACGCACAAGUGUCGGAGCUACUGAAGCGCGUUGCGGAGGUGCAAGGUAUGACUUAUUCGAUAUCUCGGACUGCAUCCAUUUUUGUCUUGAACUAUUGUAACCCAUGUCUUCCAAACAGGGGAUAAGACUCAGUUGGUGGAGCAGCAUCGAGAUGAGGUGGCCCGGCUAAGGGCGCAACUUGAAGCGCAAGGCGAGGCACAUAUGGUCGAGGUAGUCCAACUUACCUCGGUGCUUUCUGCGCAAGCCCACGAGAAGAUCCGCCUGGAAGGCGAAGUCCAAAAAUACAAGGAUCUUCUCGCCGAAGCCGAGACUCGGGCCACCGUUGCUGACCAGGAGAAGGCCAAGAGCACACAUAUGCUAGGCGUGUCUACCCGGGAUCUCGGCAAGAUAGACGGAUUGCUAGGCAGUAAGUUGCCAUAACCCGAAUCUUUCCCUUUCAUCAUUUGACCGACAAUAGCAAUGUGCCGGGAUUUAUCAUUUCUUCUUUGUCUUCGGCAGAAAUCUUCCCACAUUCUACCGAAGCUGCUCAGGCCGCCGUGAUUAAAGCUCGCGGAAAGAGGGAUUCCUCCAAGGCACAGCCAUCAGAUUAUGAUGGGGAUGAUUAUCUCAUCAACAUCUGGACCCGUGUCAAGCCUUUGAACGUUUUUGGGAUUGACAUGCUCAACGCCGGCAUCCGCGUUUCCGAGCUCUUUGGCCGGGAGAGGAAGCACCGAGUGCCAUCCCGGACUUGGCCAAGCGACUCCUGGAGGUGGAGGACCGGCUUAGCGAGUGGCGGGAGUCGGCCGCUCAUGUCGGCACCGACAAGGCAUUGUCGUUCGUACUUUCUUGGUACGACGACAUUAACCUCGACGUGUUGCAGUCCAUGCGCGUCGGCUCUCCCUUCCUCUCGGAUCCGGAAUUGAUUGGCAGGCGUCAAGAACGGGCCUACUCCUUCAUCCCAUAUGCCGAUGUGCAUUCCUUUGUGGAGGGUCCGAGAUCGGACGCAGACGAAGAGGCAGCCGAGGAAGAAGAAGAGGGCAUAGAUGAAGAAAUUGUCUCCAAGUCACCUCCCGCCGAGACAGAUGCUCCGAGCGCCGACGAUCCUGCCAUCUGAAUUCGUGCCCAUUGAUGUCAGAAAAAAAUCUUUAAAAUUGUUAGAUCCCCGGGAUGCCGGGUGCAGAUGUAAAUACUUUGAAGUACUUUUAUGUGUGAUGCGCAAUGGUUUGAAUUGGCUUAUGCCACAAGUUAUCGAGUUCUCAGCCGAGUCCCCGAGUUUAUUUUUCUGUUGGUUAAAUUAUAUGACCUCGGCUCUUUGUUUGGCUUGUCGGCGUUCGACGCAUGAAUCACGAAGUGAUAGAAUAGAACUUUCAAAAAAUCUUAAACUCAGAAAACUCGCCUGGAAAUGCCCGGUAUAGAAAAAAGGAAUGCUGGGUUAGAGAAAAUAAUGCACAUCUCGGCUCGCUCGUUUGUUUGUUUCCGCAAUCGCUUUUCAUGUGUUCAAUAACUUCGUACCCAUGCUCUAGCUUGCCAUGAAGCCGCAUUGCGGACAACAGCUAAGUCAUAGAGGGAGUUUUCAGUACCAACACACUACUAGACCGACAUAAGAUUACACAAUCAAGUCAUGCCGACAUACAAAUAGAUAAAUGUAACACAACAUUCAUAUAACAUGGGAGCCCCCGAGGUUUCAUUUAAGAACCCGGCGGAUAAUUCAUUGUUUCAAAAUACCCGACAUAAGGAAAGAACGAUACAAAUACUCAUCUCUCAAGUAUAGAAUGGACCAAGAAAAGCUACAUUCCAUGGUCUCUUAGUUUGCUCGCCAAAUCUGUCCAUCCUGUUUGCGUUGGGGUCCUGCGCAUCUAUAAGAUAGUAUGAAUCAUUGUGCGGCGCUUGGCUCACAAUGAAGGGUCCUUCCCAUGGAGGCGAUAAUUUAUGCAUGCCGGCCGUGCGCUGCACGAGCCGGAGCACAAGACCUCCUUCCUGGAACACCCACGGAUUUACCUUCCGGCUGUGAUAACACCUAAGGUGUUGUUGAUAGAUGGCUGACCGGGAUAAAGCCAAUUCCCGUGCUUCUUCGAGCAGGUCGACAUCAUUUUCUCGGGCUUCCUUUACCUCGACUUCCGUAUACAUGGUCACUCGGAGAGAGUCAUGUUGGAUGUUGGCUGGUAAGACAGCUUCCGCCCCGUAUAAGAGGAAAAAUGGCGUAUAGUCUAUGGAACGAUUUGGGGCUGUCCUGAGACUCCACAAUACGGUCGGGAGCUCAUCUAGCCAACAUUGUGGAGUGCGAUCCACUGGCUCAAUUAGCCAAGGUUUUAUGCCGGUUAAGACCAAGCCGUUUGCCCUCUCAACUUGCCCGUUGGACUGAGGAUGUGCUACUGAGGCAACAUCAAGCCGGAUUUUCUUUUCCGCGCAGAACCGCGCAAAAGGCCCCUCUGCAAAGUUUGUUCCAUUAUCUGUGAUGAUGCUAUGCGGAUAGCCGUAUCUUAACAUGAUAUCCUUCAAAAACGACACCGCGGUCUUGCCGUCACAGUUCCGUAUUGGCUUCACUUCAAUCCAUUUGGUGAACAUGUCAACCAUGACCAAGAUAUGCGUCAUGCCUCCUCUUGCCCGCUUGAAGGGCCCCACCAUGUCCAAACACCAAACAGCAAAUGGCCAAGUGAUUGGGACGGUCUUGAGUUUGGAUGUCGGCAUAUGAAUCUUGCUAGCAUAUGUUUGGCAACCGUUGCAUUUCCUGACCAUAUCCUCCGCCUCCUGUAACGCACUCGGCCAGUAAAACCCAUGCCGAAAUGCCUUGGCCACUAACGUUCUUGAAGAUGCAUGAUGACCACACUCCCCUUGGUGAAUAUCCCAGAGGAUUUCUUGUCCUUCUUCUGGCUCAACGCAACGCUGCAACAUAUUAGUGAAACUUCUCUUGUAUAGCUCGCCAUUGAUAAUAGUGUACGCUUUUGCUCUUCUCUGAACUUGCCUUGCUGACACUUCCUCUUCCCGCAGAUUUCCAUCUCUGAGGUAGUACAUUAUUGUCUGUGCCCAAGCUGGCACAAGACGAGUUACGAAAACUGGCUCAUCUAUUUCCAUUGGUUCAAUCGCCGUUGCCUCAGCUGAGUUAGGACGCUCAGUCCCCGGGUUACCGGAACCAUUGUCAAUGUCCAUUGGAGUGACGUCAGCUUCCGAGUUUGCCGGAAUAAAUAUCGAUUCUGAUUCUGGUGACGGCUUGCGCAGAUGUUCCAACGCAAUGCCGGCUGGGAUGGCCUGCCGCGUUGAUCCUAGCUUCGACAAAGUGUCGGCCGCUUCAUUCUCCGCCCGUGGUAUAUGAUGGAAUUCACACCCUUCAAAGUGGCCACUAAUCUUCUGCACAUGAAAGCGAUAUAGUGCCAUGUUGUCAUCCAACGCAUCCCAAUUACCAGAGGCUUGCUGGACCACCAAGUCCGAAUCACCGAAGCAUUGAAUCCAGCGAAUACCGAUCUCCUUUGCCAUCUUCAGUCCGUGAACGAGCGCCAAGUACUCGGCGACAUUGUUGGACGCUUCGAAAUGAAUUUGCAACACAUACUUCAAUUGGUCACGCUUGUGCGAGAUGAGAACUAUGCCGGCGCCAAGCCCACUAUUUUCUUUUUGGAGCCAUCAAAAUGCAUUUUCCAAUAACUGGUUUCAGGUGGUGGUGGUUCAUAUUCCAUCUCAGCCCAAUCCACCAGGAAAUCCGCCAGUGCCUGAGACUUCACAGCGUCUCGUCUAUCGUACUGUAGCGUGUUGGGUGCUAACUCAAUAGCCCAUUUAGCUAUUCGACCACUUGCAUCCUUAUUGCUCAUGAUCUCCGAGAUAGGCGCUUCACAUAUCAUCUGGAUCUGAUGCGCACCAAAAUAAUUCUUCAGCUUCUUUGUCGUCAUAUAAACACCGUACGCCAUCUUCUGGUAAUGAGGAUAAUUCUGUUUUGAUGAUGAUAACACCUUACUCAAGUAAUAUACCGGCCUCUGUACCGACUUGCCGGCUUCAUCUCUCUCCACCACUAUGACGGCACUCACAACCCGGUUCGUUGCUGCUAUAUAUAACAACAUCGGCUCUUGCGCCAUUGGCGAGGCUAAUAUCGGCGUUGUAGCGAUCAUUUUCUUCAGCUCUUGGAAGGCUACCUCUGCUUCUUGUGUCCAGACAAACUUGUCGGUUUUCUUUAUUAGCUGGUAUAAGGGCAUUGCCUUUUCACCCAGCCGACUAACAAAACGACUUAAUGAUGCUAAGCAUCAAGUGAAUUUUUGCACAUCUUUGAGACAUUUCGGAAGCUUCAUUCUUUCUAUGGCGGCAAUUUUCACAUGAUUUGUUUCUAUACCUCGGCUCAACACCAGGAAUCCGAGUAGCUUUCCUGUCGGCACACCGAAAGUGCACUUGGCCGGGUUUAGCUUCAUUCGGAAUCUCCUCAAGUUCGCAAAUGUUUCCCGGAUAUCAUCCAGCAGUGUGAUGCUUUCUUUGGUUUUUAUGACGACAUCGUCGACAUAUACCUGCACGUUUUUGCCGACUUGGUCGUGCAAACAUUUCUGCAUGCACCUUUGGUAAGUAGCCCCUACAUUUCUCAAACCAAACGGCAUAGUGCGAUAGCAAUAAGCCCCAAACGGGAUGAUAAAUGAUGUCUUUAUUUGAUCAUUAGGGUUUAACGGUAUCUGGUGAAAACCAGAAUAUGCAUCUAAAAAAGACAACGACUCACACCCAGCAGUAGAGUCGAUCACUUGAUCGAUCUGAGGUAACGGAAAAAGAUCUUUAAGGCACGCCUUGUUCAGGCUAGUGUAGUCGAUACACAUGCGCCACACCUUGGCAGCAGUUGGGUCAUCUUUCUUUUUCUCGACCAUGACCGGUUGGCCAACCAGUCAGGAUGCAACACUUCCAUGAUAAAGACGGCAGCUAGAAGCCGGGAUAUCUCUUCCGAUAUGAUCUUCCUUCUGUCAUCGGUGAAGCGUCGAAGGGGCUGCUUCACCGGUCUUGCGUCUGGCCUGACAUGCAAUGAGUACUCAGCCAACUCCCUCGGCACACCUGGCAAGUCUUGGUUUGACCAUGCGAAGAUGUCCCGAUUCUCACGGAGGAAGUUGGUAAGCUCGCCUUUCUAUUUCUCAUUCAGGCCGGCACCAAUGAUGAUAGUGCGGUCCGGGAAUUCACUGUCUGUGCCGCCUGAAAGCCACGCUUCCGUGAGGGUUGGUCAUAGACGGCAGACCAAUCUGUACCGACUGAGCUAACGUGACAACUUCUUGCAGCUUCCUCUUCUCCCCGGCGAUGACCAAUGACUCGGCCAAAGCAGAUCAUGCUGCCGCGCACUCCAUCGAAAGCUUGUAGUUGCCGGUAAUGGUGAUUGUACCAUUUGGUCCCGGCAUCUUCAUCUUCAGAUAGCCAAUGUGAGUAGUCGUCAUGAAUUUGGCCAAUGCCUGUUUGCCGAGCAGCGCGUGAUACGGACUGUUGAGAUCCACCAGAGCAUAACCGAAUUCUCUGUCCGACAUUUCUCCCUAGUGCCGAAUAAGACAUCAACCCAGAUCUUGCCAACCGGAGCACAAGACACUCCCGGCAGAAUACCAGGGAAGGUAGUCUAGCUAGGCUCAAGCAUGUUAUCAGUAAUGCAGAGUUUGAGCAUCGUGUCUCGGUACGUGAUGUUUAUGCUGCUCCCAUUAUCGAUGAGAACUCGAGUGAACUUGACGUUGAUGUCAGGCCCAAUGAGUGUCGGGUCGAUCACCAGAGCAUAACCACCUGGAUUCAGCAUGACUUUAGGAUGAUCAACCCGGUUCCAACAGAGCUCCUGCUCCAACCGGUACAUGAAUUUCGGCACUGCCGGCAUGACAGCAUUGACCUCCAUCUCACGCCGGCGCUGGCUCUGCUUGUCGGUUGGCUCCGUGAUAAAAAUCUUGUAGCUUUGGUGAUGCUCCUUGUACUCGUUUCUUCCUGCAUAUUCCGGAAUGCCUUGGUCUUCCACCUGAUUGACUGCAUUGUUCACCGGAGGAGGUCCUUGAAUCUGAGAAUUGGCACCUGUGAAUGGCGGAGGAGGGGGCAGCCUACUUGCCUCACCCUUCUCGGCCCGCUGCAUCCAGCUGCAAUGUCGGGUUGUGUGAUGUGCUGGCUUGCUGGGAUUGGUCGUGUGGAAAGGACAAGGCUGAUCCAGCAUCAUCUCGAACGUGUACUUCUGUUUAUUUUGCCACGGCUUCUUCUGCUCUCCUUUCUUGGCCCACUACUGAUUUCAGUCUUCUGACGCUGGCUAGGGCCGGCAUCAGGUUGAUCUUGAAUGGCUGCCACAUGGGCUGGCCCAUACCGGUAAUCCGGCCUGUCGUCCCUUCUUUUAUUCCGAUGAUCUUGAUGAUCAUUUCUCCGGAAUGCUCUGGCAGGAUUGUAUGUCGGCUGCUAUCUUUGUUGCUCCGCCGGCAUCAGCAAUGGCUGAGUUGGGUCACCCAAUGCGUACAUGUCCGCAAUCUUGAUCAUCUCGGACAAAGUGGCCGACAUUUCCCUCUGCAGCUUCUGCCACAACAUGCUGCCAUGUCGGCACCAUUGGGCAAACCAUGCUAUGGCCUGCGAAUCCACUAUUCCUUCACAGGAGUUGCGGAGGUUAUUCCACCUUGUAACGUAAUCUCGGUCAGUCUCGUUGUCCCUUUGCUUGCACAUGGACAGUUGCUAAGGGCGGUUAGGUCUCUUGUAGGUGCUGAUGAAGUUGUUGACAAAAGCUUCCUCAAAAUCUAUCCAGCAAUUGAUGCUGCCCUCUGGCAGAUUAUUCAACCAGAUCCUGGCCGGCCCUACUAGCAUUUGGGGUACAUAACGUACUGCCCAUCUGCGAUUGCCGCCUACCACAUGCACUGCAGUGACAUAAUCUUCCAACCAGUCUUCCGGCUUUGUGCUGCCGUCAUAUGUUCUCGUGCCCUGGGUAGCUGAAAACCCUGUGUUGGUGUCUCUAUCAUGAUCUGGUGAGCGAAACAACAGGGUCCCGGAGGGCCUUGCUCUUCCAGAAGCUCCGACAGAUAGAUUCUGUCAAGCCGAUAUCAGGCAUCUAGCGGCGACACCUGCCGGUUUCCCACUCGAGCUCCAAGUGGGCCGACUUUGUCACGCUCUCGCCUGAGAUAGCCUUCAUCUCCCAUGGCCGAGUAUCCGUCAUUGUAACGGUCUUGCCGGCGAUCUUCACCUCGAAACAAGGGGUUGCGCCCAGCACCCUGCUGACCUGCAGCAGUAUUGGGCGCUGGACCCCGAGGUUGGCGUCCAUGACCUGCCGAGUGACGCUCUUGUGGAUCUCGACGAUUGUUAUCGAGAUGCAGACUGAUUUGACCAUCAUCAACUCUCCUAACCAUUUGCUUCUCAGCCAAUGCAGGUUCAUAAUGCUCUAGCCGCUUGUCUCGGCCAGAGUUGACACUCUUAUCCGGUCUGCCACCAGGCGAAGAAGCUUGCUUGUCUGCCCUGCCGCCAGCGCCUGUAGCCGAGUGAAUGAUCUGAGAUGCAUCGGGCUUGCCGUGCAACCUCAUGUACGCCUCGUUUUGUUCGUUAGCCGUGCUAAGCAAUUCCUUCACACGCAAGUGCUGCAAUCAGAGUGCCUCUCCCGUGAGAUUCGACAACUCUUCUGCUGCAGCCUCGGCUGCCCUGAGGUUCUUAACAGGGGUGCUAUAUUUCGGCUUUAGUGCCGACACAUAGCUUGCCGACACAGCAGGCAUGGCUCUGCCAUCCCUAGCUAUCUCGGCAUUCAAGUUUCUACCACGAUUAUGCACUUCCCCAACUCGGCUAGGGUUAUGCACUGCAGCAGAAUUGAGACCAUGAGCUUUGUUAUACUCACGAAGUGAAAUCUCGAGCUCCUGCCGAGCAUGAGCCACGUCAACAGCUUCCUGUAGCUGGGCCAAGUUGGCGUUUGGUGCCACAGUCAACGUCAGCCUCUCGAUGGCGGCCUGGAGCGGAGUCGGUUUUGCCGGCGUAGCGGAUGUGCCGGCCUGAGCAGCGAUGUUCUCUGGCUUCUCCAUUGGGGGACGCGCCAUUCUGCCGGACUUGCUCGGGAGUCCGGCGCUUUCUGCCACGCCCUUGCCAACAUCGCCGCCUUCAGCCGUCAUCAUGACCUCCACACGGCCAACGGGGCAGUUGACAUGCCGACUGCGAACCGUGCAGAUGGCUGGAGGAUCCUUGGCAACCACCACCUACUCGAGAUACCUGCAAGGAGUGUCGGUGGCGACGUAGACCUCAUGCAUACCGAAGUUGACGAAGCGGACAGCGCAGGGAAGUGGCGCGUUGUUGAAGCAGCCUGCGUUGUUGUCGAUGAAGCCUAGAGAGCCGAAUGUCUGGACCAAAUAGGAGACGACGCGGUUUCCGGUGACGAGGAAGCUUCCCGUCCGGAUGAAAACUCAGUGCCGCUGCUGGCCCCACGGUGGGUGACAACUGUCGUGGUGGUGUCACGGUAGAUGCCAUAUGAUGGCUUCAUAUGGGGCCAAUGGACGAAGAAGGAUCCGGAGGAGGGAUGGCGCGAUGUAAACCACGCACAAAAGUAAGAACACACGGUGUUUACCCAGGUUCGGAGCCCUCUUGAUGAGGUAAAGCUCCUAUUCCUGCCGUUUUUGUAUUAGCCGAGAUAUGUGAGACUAAAAUGGUGCUCCUUGAGUUGUAUCCAGAGGAGAAAGAAGGAGAAGGAGAACUCCUAAAUGUCUAAGUGAGGAACCCCUCUCACAGGAGGGGUGGAGCUUCUAUUUAUAGGCCAAAGAUGUCACACUGACAUGUGGACCAAAAGCAAACCCUAGCUACCACCGCGUCCGCCGGGUACACCCAUGGUCCCCUCCGGAUUGUCCGGGAGGGGACAAUACUGCUUUGUGCUUUACGAACAGCCAGACGGCACGCACUGUAGCCAUGCUCCGGCCUUCGUCACCUGUCCUUCUACGGCGCGUCACUGUGCAGUCGCCCGGCACAGCGACGUGAGCAACGACUGCUUUUCCGUCAUAAAGGGAGCGCUGCUUUACUUUGCGCCAUGUGAUCAGGAUAGGACCGUUGGCCUUUCCCGGCCCUAGCCGAGACCAAAGAGUUCAUGCUUAUCCUGUAAUCACAUAAGACAAGAUAGAUAUGCCGGCACACUUUUGGUAUGCCGGCCGGUUACAAAGUCGGCCUGACAAUGCCGGCGUAUUUGCUUACGUCGGCUUUGUUCUCGCUAUUCCGGUUAAUACAUGUCGUCAUGACCCUACCCGGGAUCAUCCCCUGACAAAACGUAAAAUUUCAAAAAAUAAAUAUUAAAAUCUCAUAAAACUAAAAGUCAAAAGGCAGAAAAUAAAAUGUUGCCAAAAAGAAAAAAAUCAAACAACCCCGAAAAAGGCCGUCGGAAUUCAUCCGCCCAGUUCCAUCC